Molecule: ribosomal RNA, 535 nt
Filed under: Salmonella enterica subsp. enterica serovar Kentucky
Lineage: Bacteria; Pseudomonadati; Pseudomonadota; Gammaproteobacteria; Enterobacterales; Enterobacteriaceae
Description: partial 23S ribosomal RNA
Rfam family: Bacterial large subunit ribosomal RNA
Source: RNAcentral
CUGGAGGUAUCAGAAGUGCGAAUGCUGACAUAAGUAACGAUAAAGCGGGUGAAAAGCCCGCUCGCCGGAAGACCAAGGGUUCCUGUCCAACGUUAAUCGGGGCAGGGUGAGUCGACCCCUAAGGCGAGGCCGAAAGGCGUAGUCGAUGGGAAACGGGUUAAUAUUCCCGUACUUGGUGUUACUGCGAAGGGGGGACGGAGAAGGCUAUGUUGGCCGGGCGACGGUUGUCCCGGUUUAAGCGUGUAGGUGUGUGUUCCAGGUAAAUCCGGUUCACUUUAACACUGAGGCGUGAUGACGAGGCACUACGGUGCUGAAGCAACAAAUGCCCUGCUUCCAGGAAAAGCCUCUAAGCAUCAGGUAACAUCAAAUCGUACCCCAAACCGACACAGGUGGUCAGGUAGAGAAUACCAAGGCGCUUGAGAGAACUCGGGUGAAGGAACUAGGCAAAAUGGUGCCGUAACUUCGGGAGAAGGCACGCUGACACGUAGGUGAAGUGAUUUACUCACGGAGCUGAAGUCAGUCGAAGAUACCAGCU